GAUGAACGCUGGCGGCGUGCCUAAUACAUGCAAGUCGAGCGAACAGACGAGGAGCUUGCUCCUCUGACGUUAGCGGCGGACGGGUGAGUAACACGUGGAUAACCUACCUAUAAGACUGGGAUAACUUCGGGAAACCGGAGCUAAUACCGGAUAAUAUAUUGAACCGCAUGGUUCAAUAGUGAAAGACGGUUUUGCUGUCACUUAUAGAUGGAUCCGCGCCGCAUUAGCUAGUUGGUAAGGUAACGGCUUACCAAGGCAACGAUGCGUAGCCGACCUGAGAGGGUGAUCGGCCACCCUGGAACUGGGACCCGGUCCAGACUCCUACGGGAGGCAGCAGUAGGGAAUCUUCCGCAAUGGGCGAAAGCUUGACGGAGCAACGCCGCGUGAGUGAUGAAGGUCUUCGGAUCGUAAAACUCUGUUAUUAGGGAAGAACAAAUGUGUAAGUAACUAUGCACGUCUUGACGGUACCUAAUCAGAAAGCCACGGCUAACUACGUG
This 497-nucleotide ribosomal RNA is filed under the name uncultured bacterium. RNAcentral describes it as "partial 16S ribosomal RNA". It matches the Rfam family "Bacterial small subunit ribosomal RNA", at positions 28 to 507 of the family's 1533-position model. The record is from RNAcentral.